Molecule: transfer RNA, 74 nt
Filed under: Planctomycetes bacterium RBG_13_46_10
Lineage: Bacteria; Pseudomonadati; Planctomycetota
Also listed under: 1 other name
Description: tRNA-Val
Rfam family: tRNA
About the family: Transfer RNA (tRNA) molecules are approximately 80 nucleotides in length. Their secondary structure includes four short double-helical elements and three loops (D, anti-codon, and T loops). Further hydrogen bonds mediate the characteristic L-shaped molecular structure. tRNAs have two regions of fundamental functional importance: the anti-codon, which is responsible for specific mRNA codon recognition, and the 3' end, to which the tRNAs corresponding amino acid is attached (by aminoacyl-tRNA synthetases). tRNAs cope with the degeneracy of the genetic code in two manners: having more than one tRNA (with a specific anti-codon) for a particular amino acid; and 'wobble' base-pairing, i.e. permitting non-standard base-pairing at the 3rd anti-codon position.
Source: RNAcentral
GGGCGAUUAGCUCAGUUGGCUAGAGCACGUGCUUUACACGCACGGGGUCACAGGUUCGAGUCCUGUAUCGCCCA